UAGUAGCCAUACUGUAAACUAAUGUUGGCAGUUACAUUUUGGUUUCUUGAUCUUUUGUGUAUACAGCAUAUAUACACUACAUUCAUCACAAACUUGUUAUUGUCUGCUCUUCAACCAGAAAUUCUCUUUUAUUUUCAGGAACAUUUCUAUGACAUGCAGAGCAACAAAGGCUUUCUUGAGUGAUGUAUAAAAACUGUGCAGCGUCAAUCUAAAACCCCAUCUGCAUCUCGUAGCAGAGUGGAGCUGAAAGGAGGUCCCACAUCGGCAAGAACGUCUAGAUCCACAGAUGACCAGCAAACAGGAGAUGAAUGUAUGGAGGUCAUGUCUCUUCUUCACCACAUUACUGACCAUGACUUAGUCCAGAAGAUUUCAAGUGGGACAGCAACAUGGCAUCUCUUCUUGUAUUGCACCAUCUGCUAACUCCUCAACCAGAAGCAGCCCAAAAAGAUCAGCGUUGGAGAGGCUACUGAUCAUAUGGUUACAUUUCACAAGUCUUGCCACAGCCUUGAAGAACACCUCAUGACUAUUAAAGGAAACCCCCAGCCGUAUCUGCUGGCCACAGGGACUUUGGC
Molecule: long non-coding RNA, 572 nt
Organism: Etheostoma spectabile (orangethroat darter)
Lineage: Eukaryota; Metazoa; Chordata; Actinopteri; Perciformes; Percidae
Exons: 3
Source: RefSeq, a predicted model, not a curated record